RNAcentral lists this ribosomal RNA (229 nucleotides) under uncultured bacterium. Its description in RNAcentral is "partial 16S ribosomal RNA". It matches the Rfam family "Bacterial small subunit ribosomal RNA", at positions 568 to 796 of the family's 1533-position model. The record is from RNAcentral.
UGCGUAGGUGGCAAUGUAUGUCGGAUGUGAAAUCUCGAGGCUCAACUUCGAAAUUGCAUUCGAAACUGCAUAGCUUGAGUACAGGAUGGGAGAGCGGAAUUCUUGGUGUAGCGGUGAAAUGCGUUGAUAUCAAGAAGAACACCGGCGGCGAAGGCGGCUCUCUGGAAUGUUACUGACACUGAGGCACGAAAGCUGGGGGAGCAAACAGGAUUAGAUACCCUGGUAGUCC